Molecule: ribosomal RNA, 498 nt
Filed under: uncultured Coprobacillus sp.
Lineage: Bacteria; Bacillati; Bacillota; Erysipelotrichia; Erysipelotrichales; Coprobacillaceae
Description: bacterial SSU rRNA
Rfam family: Bacterial small subunit ribosomal RNA
Source: RNAcentral
UUUGAUCCUGGCUCAGGAUGAACGCUGGCGGCGUGCCUAAUACAUGCAAGUCGAACGCAUAUCUUCGGAUAUGAGUGGCGAACGGGUGAGUAAUACAUAAGUAACCUGGCCUUAAGAGGGGGAUAACUAUUAGAAAUGAUAGCUAAGACCGCAUAGGUAUGAAGAUCGCAUGAUCGACAUAUUAAAUAUCCCACGGGAUAGCUGAAGGAUGGACUUAUGGCGCAUUAGCUAGUUGGUAGGGUAACGGCCUACCAAGGCGACGAUGCGUAGCCGACCUGAGAGGGUGGACGGCCACACUGGGACUGAGACACGGCCCAGACUCCUACGGGAGGCAGCAGUAGGGAAUUUUCGGCAAUGGGGGGAACCCUGACCGAGCAACGCCGCGUGAGGGAGGAAGUAUUUCGGUAUGUAAACCUCUGUUAUAAAGGAAGAACGAUGCAUGUAGGGAAUGACAUGCAAGUGACGGUACUUUAUGAGGAAGCCACGGCUAACUACGUG